UAGGAUACACAAAGACAUGGCUCCCCGUUCUUUGGUAACCUCACAUCAAAUCGCUACCAAACACGUCUCCAGUCUUCAAAAUAAUUUAGUUAUUAGAAAGGUGAUUGGACAAACCAGCAAAGAUUUUUUUUCACUAACAAAAAGCAAAUCAGAACAGAGUUAGUCUUUUUCUCCAGUUACCCAGCAUUCAAAGCUCUAACUGUAGUCACAUUGUAAUAAUUUUAGACCCCAAAGCAGUGUGACCAUUUGAUGCAUAAUUUUCAACACAUGUUUUAUUAAUCCAUUCUUCCUGAGCUUCAUUUAAAAUACUGGAAACUAUAAAAAGAUCAGUGUGUUACUCCCCUGCCAGGGAAAAAAAAAAAAAAGAAAAGAAAUGAAAAAAAACUAAACACGAAAAAAGCCAGAGCAACUGGAAUCUCCGUCUUGAGGAAACACAUGGGAUUGAAGCAUCCGCCGGAGCUCUGUCACCGACUGUCAUCUGUGACUCUUCGGUGCUGAAGUCUAGAUGUCACCAGGCUGGGACGAGAAGGCGUGCGUGCAGGCGAGCUUCAGCACAGAGGGCAAUAACAAGGCAGUAUUUCUCCAGCUGUAGCCCACCGGCCACCUGUAUGGAGAGUGCCAGCGGUACGUGGUCAGAAGGCAUGUUCUUAGACCCCACUUCGAAGUGCCGACUCAGAAUGUCCUGGGCUGGGGCCUGGAAAUCAGCCCAUAUGGAAUUCCAAUGUACACUUAGUACACGGGCCUCUCACUGUUGUGGCCUCUCCUGUUGCAGAGCACAGGCUCCGGACGCGCAGGCUCAGCGGCCAUGGCUCACGGGCCUAGCUGCUCCGCGGCAUGUGGGAUCUUCCCGGACCGGGGCACGAACCCGCGUCCCCUGCAUCGGCAGGCGGACUCUCAACCACUGCGCCACCAGGGAAGCCCAGGGAUCUACUUUUGAAUCAAGAAGAAUUACCUUUUAGUGCAGGAACAAACUCUUGAGAUGGGAAAAAAGGUGAAAUGAGUCAUGGGCUCCUUACACAUCUGUUAGCUGCAAUUCUCCUCAGUGGGGUAGGAGAUGUGGUCACUGCUAAGAGGCCAGAGGAUGUGAAAGUAGCAACUUGAUCUCAGUAACUUUACAGAUAUAUCUCAUGGUGCUAAGCCAUAAUGGUAUUAUAUAUAAAUGGUUAUGAGGACUUGACCAACACAUAAAAAUAAAAUAUUCAAGGCUGUGACAUUGCUGCAGACAUGUCUCUCUUGGACCAGAAAUAGGGAUGCAAGGCCAGAGGAGGAGGUUCCAAGAUCAAGGAUGUGAAAGUAGCUGGGACAGAAGGUGAGAUCCCCUCUGAAUAUGCACAUCAGACUGUCAUAGAGACUGAUUCUUUUUUGGUGUAGGC
Lagenorhynchus albirostris (white-beaked dolphin) is the source of this 1373-nucleotide long non-coding RNA. RefSeq lists it as uncharacterized. The transcript is spliced from 3 exons. NCBI's taxonomy places the organism in Eukaryota, Metazoa, Chordata, Mammalia, Artiodactyla, Delphinidae. The record is from RefSeq and is a predicted model, not a curated record.